Long non-coding RNA from Phoenix dactylifera (date palm), 1372 nucleotides. RefSeq lists it as uncharacterized. NCBI's taxonomy places the organism in Eukaryota, Viridiplantae, Streptophyta, Magnoliopsida, Arecales, Arecaceae. The record is from RefSeq and is a predicted model, not a curated record.
GGUUUGGAGCACUGCAAUUAUUGCAAAUGUUUGCAAUACUUUAAAACAAGAACGAUAAUGAAAUGUUUGCCUGCUGCAAGCCUGCAGAGUCCAGGGAGUGCCUUCUGCAGUUCUCAUUGAGGCAAUCUUGUAGGCUUACAUGACAUAUUUCUUGACAGAAGGUUGCAUCUUUCGAAAUGUUCCCACACCUGUUUCAUAUAAACUUCAUUAGUUUCUUUAACCCUAUUUUCCAUCGAAACGUCAAAAGUUAUUGAAAUGGAUGGCAGAUCGGAACUUACAAAUUCAUAUGUCACCUUUUGCUCAAUUGACGCGGGACUAUGACAAUUUUCCUCACCUAAUCUUGUAAUAUUUUCAUCGUGAGUUGGCUCGGUCCUACUAAACUCUCAUCGAUAUGCAAGUUCCACUGGAUCCUUGUAUCAGGGCUGUGAUUCAUACUAGAUCUGGCUCCGAUACCACUUCUCUCACCAGGGCUGUUAUAACGGUUGCAACUGUCAAUUAAUUUAGAAUUAUCUGGAAAAUACUUUUAAAUAUUAUUUACUAAAAUGCCACUGUCGGUGCGGAGGCCCACUUUGCAUAUUUGGAGGCGGAGGCCCAGUCGAAGACCGGCGGUGGAUGGUUGGUUUUUGGCGGGCGACGACGUGCCCCUCUCUUUCGCGGUUUCGCCUGCGAGCCCAACUCGUACCUUCUUCUUCUCACUGGAAGAAUUAGGGUCUCUCCUCCUCGGAUCGAUGGCUCGCAGAUUGAAUCUUUCUUAUUCUCACCAGAAGAAUUCGGGUUCUCCUCUUGGGAUCGAUCUCUCACAGAUUGAAUCGUUUCAGGGGCUUCUCUAAGGGUUCCUUCCGACAUGUUCAUUCAGGCCUUCCAAUACACAUAAUUGGUGUUAUUCAAUUUUGAUACCAAUGCUAGAGAUGGUGAUAUCUUGAGCCAUAUUGAUUCAUUUCUUGAAUCAUCAAAUCAGAGUCCACACACUAUCACCAUCGUACAAUAAAAUACUGGAAGCUUUUCAACUAUGCCAAGAUCUCAGUAGUUUACGGUUAAUCCUUCGAUCGCUCCAACCACCGACGCUGUUAUCGAGGGAGAGGGAAAAGACCAGCCGUUGAACGCCGCUGGCGGCACCCACCGCGAGCGAGCGAGCGAGCGAGCAUGUGACGUGCUGCGCCUGCCAGGCUUUCUCCCCCGCGGGAAUUUUCAUCAGUUGUCUUUUCAUAUUCUUUUGCCAGAGGCUUCACGGAUCGGCUUAUAUUGUGCUACUUUGAGGCACUUAAUUGAGGCCGGUUGGUUGUUGAUGUCGAUAACAGCCAACGGCAAAUUCUUGAUGUACCGUGCAGUAUGUUUUUACUAGUAUUUUUGGUCUCUUUGACCAUGCAUUCAU